This 1141-nucleotide long non-coding RNA is filed under the name Cricetulus griseus (Chinese hamster). Its description in RNAcentral is "lncRNA (ENSCGRG00015031678.1)". The record is from RNAcentral. Lineage: Eukaryota; Metazoa; Chordata; Mammalia; Rodentia; Cricetidae.
UGGCAACACUUAGCAUCUGUGAAAGCAACUUGUUUUCAGACAGACCACAUGGAGCACACCUGGUAGAGGUCUCAGGUCACAUGCAUUAUUAACAAGAAUUGUAGCUAAGGAAAACUAAAAGCCACAAGCUAUGCCUGUCAGGGCUAAAUUAACACUGGAGAGGUUUAAUGAGUUACCAAAGAUUGUGUGACUUAGAGUUUAUACUUCAGCUAUCUGUGAUCUUUGCGGUAUGAAAGCUAUUUCCCCCAAAACACUAAGAAGAGGUGCAAAGAAGCAGAGGUAGGCAGAUUUCUGUGAGUUCUAGGACAGCCCUACCUACACAGUGAGUUCCAGACAGCUGGGACUACAUAGUGACACCUGGUCUUAGAAAGAAAUAGUGGAGCCUGGUGGUGGUGGCGGUGGCGCACACCUUUAAUCCCAGCACUCGGGAGGCAGAGGCAGUUGGAUCUCUGUGAGUUCGAGGCCAGCCUGGUCUCCAGAGCAAGUCCCAGGACAGUCUCCAAAGCUACACAGAGAAACUAUGUCUCGAACCACCCCCCCAAAAAAGAAAAAGAAAAUGGAUUUUUAUUUUAUUUUUCUUAGCAAAGUACUCCAGACAAAUAAUAGUCAACUGAAGGCAUCAGAACAAUCCUCACAGAGCUCUCAGAGCAGGAAUUGAGUCUCAAGUUUCUGUCCCCAACUCCCGGCCUCAGACAGCUGUAAAUGCAUAUCCCAUGUGGAUCCAGUCUCUGAAAUACUGAAUGGAAAUUUACUGGGGCCCUCUAGGAGGCUAGACUCUCACACAAACUGACCUGCCCCAGGGGACUCUCCACUGUGCCAGAUAUUUUAUGAGGAUCGGCAUUCCCAGUUGAUUGAGUCGGCAAAAGGAAACCAAAGAACUGUGUCUUAAAACUGAUUUAUCCUGCUUAAUUGUCCACAGGGGACACUCUACUCUAGGCCAGGAGUUGGACAAAUAUGAGGUCUGCAAGAUGCCUGCCUCCAACCCGCCAGUACCCCGUAGUGCUGCUUGGCCAGACAGGCUUCCUGGCAAGCUCUGGCCUCGUUCUCCUUACCUGAGCUCCAACCUGGACCACUUGCUGACCUGCUGGGGCUCUAACCCCAGUUCCUGCAGGACCUUGAUUAACUGAACGCUUCCCUGACG